RNAcentral lists this ribosomal RNA (1030 nucleotides) under uncultured Lachnospiraceae bacterium. Its description in RNAcentral is "bacterial SSU rRNA". It matches the Rfam family "Bacterial small subunit ribosomal RNA", at positions 469 to 1499 of the family's 1533-position model. Lineage: Bacteria; Bacillati; Bacillota; Clostridia; Lachnospirales; Lachnospiraceae. The record is from RNAcentral.
AUGACGGUACCUGACUAAGAAGCACCGGCUAAAUACGUGCCAGCAGCCGCGGUAAUACGUAUGGUGCAAGCGUUAUCCGGAUUUACUGGGUGUAAAGGGAGCGUAGACGGCUGUGUAAGUCUGAAGUGAAAGCCCGGGGCUCAACCCCGGGACUGCUUUGGAAACUAUGCAGCUAGAGUGUCGGAGAGGUAAGUGGAAUUCCCAGUGUAGCGGUGAAAUGCGUAGAUAUUGGGAGGAACACCAGUGGCGAAGGCGGCUUACUGGACGAUGACUGACGUUGAGGCUCGAAAGCGUGGGGAGCAAACAGGAUUAGAUACCCUGGUAGUCCACGCCGUAAACGAUGACUACUAGGUGUCGGGUGUCACAGACAUUCGGUGCCGCAGCAAACGCAAUAAGUAGUCCACCUGGGGAGUACGUUCGCAAGAAUGAAACUCAAAGGAAUUGACGGGGACCCGCACAAGCGGUGGAGCAUGUAGUUUAAUUCGAAGCAACGCGAAGAACCUUACCUGGUCUUGACAUCCCUUUGACCGACGAGUAAUGUCGUCUUUCCUUCGGGACAGAGGAGACAGGUGGUGCAUGGUUGUCGUCAGCUCGUGUCGCGAGAUGUUGGGUUAAGUCCCGCAACGAGCGCAACCCUUAUCUUCAGUAGCCAGCAUUUAAGGUGGGCACUCUGGAGAGACUGCCAGGGAUAACCUGGAGGAAGGUGGGGAUGACGUCAAAUCAUCAUGCCCCUUAUGACCAGGGCUACACACGUGCUACAAUGGCGUAAACAAAGGGAGGCAGAGCCGCGAGGCCGAGCAAAUCCCAAAAAUAACGUCUCAGUUCGGAUUGUAGUCUGCAACUCGACUACAUGAAGCUGGAAUCGCUAGUAAUCGCGAAUCAGCAUGUCGCGGUGAAUACGUUCCCGGGUCUUGUACACACCGCCCGUCACACCAUGGGAGUUGGUAACGCCCGAAGUCAGUGACCCAACCGAAAGGAGGGAGCUGCCGAAGGUGGGACCGAUAACUGGGGUGAAGUCGUAACAAGGUAA